AUUGAACGCUGGCGGCAGGCCUAACACAUGCAAGUCGAGCGGAUGAAGGGAGCUUGCUCCUGGAUUCAGCGGCGGACGGGUGAGUAAUGCCUAGGAAUCUGCCUGGUAGUGGGGGAUAACGUCCGGAAACGGGCGCUAAUACCGCAUACGUCCUGAGGGAGAAAGUGGGGGAUCUUCGGACCUCACGCUAUCAGAUGAGCCUAGGUCGGAUUAGCUAGUUGGUGGGGUAAAGGCCUACCAAGGCGACGAUCCGUAACUGGUCUGAGAGGAUGAUCAGUCACACUGGAACUUAGACACGGGCCAGACUCCUACGGGAGGCAGCAGUGGGGAAUUUUGGACAAUGGGCGAAAGCCUGAUCCAGCCAUGCCGCGUGUGUGAAGAAGGUCUUCGGAUUGUAAAGCCCUUUUAGUUGGGAGGAAAGGGAGUAAGUUAAUACCUUGCGGUUUUGACGGUACCAACAGAAUAAGCACCGGCUAACUUCGUG
RNAcentral lists this ribosomal RNA (484 nucleotides) under uncultured bacterium. RNAcentral describes it as "partial 16S ribosomal RNA". It matches the Rfam family "Bacterial small subunit ribosomal RNA", at positions 30 to 507 of the family's 1533-position model. The record is from RNAcentral.